RNAcentral lists this ribosomal RNA (431 nucleotides) under uncultured bacterium. RNAcentral's name for it is "partial 16S ribosomal RNA". It matches the Rfam family "Bacterial small subunit ribosomal RNA", at positions 29 to 507 of the family's 1533-position model. The record is from RNAcentral.
AGCGAACGCUGGCGGCAGGCCUAACACAUGCAGGUCGAACGCCCCUUCGGGGGAGUGGCGGCCGGGUGAGUAACGCGUGGGAAUGUGCCCUUUGGUACGGAACAACUGAGGGAAACUUCAGCUAAUACCGUAUGUGCCCUACGGGGGAAAGAUUUAUCGCCAUUGGAGCAGCCCGCGUUGGAUUAGGUAGUUGGUGGGGUAAUGGCCCACCAAGCCGACGAUCCAUAGCUGGUCUGAGAGGAUGAUCAGCCACACUGGGACUGAGACACGGCCCAGACUCCUACGGGAGGCAGCAGUGGGGAAUCUUGCGCAAUGGGCGAAAGCCUGACGCAGCCAUGCCGCGUGAAUGAUGAAGGUCUUAGGAUUGUAAAAUUCUUUCACCGGGGAAGAUAAUGACGGUACCCGGAGAAGAAGCCCCGGCUAACUUCGUG